AACGUAGGAGACAAACGUUGUCCGGAUUUAUUGGGCGUAAAGAGCUCGUAGGCGGUUUGUCGCGUCGGACGUGAAAUCCCUCGGCUUAACCGGGGAACUGCGUCCGAUACUGGUUGGCUUGAGUUUGGGAGAGGGAUGCGGAAUUCCAGGUGUAGCGGUGAAAUGCGUAGAUAUCUGGAGGAACACCGGUGGCGAAGGCGGCAUCCUGGACCAAUUCUGACACUGAGGAGCGAAAGCCAGGGGAGCAAACGGG
Molecule: ribosomal RNA, 253 nt
Filed under: uncultured bacterium
Lineage: Bacteria
Description: partial 16S ribosomal RNA
Rfam family: Bacterial small subunit ribosomal RNA
Source: RNAcentral